This 389-nucleotide ribosomal RNA is filed under the name uncultured Nitrospina sp. RNAcentral describes it as "bacterial SSU rRNA". It matches the Rfam family "Bacterial small subunit ribosomal RNA", at positions 29 to 410 of the family's 1533-position model. Lineage: Bacteria; Pseudomonadati; Nitrospinota; Nitrospinia; Nitrospinales; Nitrospinaceae. The record is from RNAcentral.
AACGAACGCUGGCGGUGUGCUUAACACAUGCAAGUCGAACGAGAAAGUUUCCUUCGGGAAGCUAGUAAAGUGGCGCAAGGGUGAGUAACACGUGAAUAAUCUGCCCUCGAGGUCGGGAUAACAUGGUGAAAACUAUGCUAAUACCGGAUAAGACCACAUUUCAUAAGAAAUGCGGUAAAAGGAGUCUCAAUCUUCACUCGAGGAUGAGUUCGCGGACCAUUAGCUUGUUGGCGGGAUAAUAGCCCACCAAGGCUACGAUGGAUAGCCGGCCUGAGAGGGUGAUCGGCCACACUGGAACUGAGACACGGUCCAGACUCCUACGGGAGGCAGCAGUGGGGAAUAUUGCGCAAUGGGCGAAAGCCUGACGCAGCAACGCCGCGUGAGGGAUG